UUAUACAUCCCAUAUUUACAUCAAUUGAUAGGAAAUUGAACUGGGGAUAAUCAUCUCUUUAGAGAUGACAUUUUUCGAUCUUCGCAAUAGUUUUAUCAAGGAACUAUCAACAAAAUUCGAUAACUUUAUUGUAGCAUGUAUCAAUUUAAAAAAAUUUCGUUUCGGAAUCGUUUCUCAUAUAAAAUAUUAAAUGUGGAUAUUUUCAAUAUACUUUGAAAAAAAUAUGUCAGUGUAAUAUCGUGAUAUUUUUUAGUUUUAUGUGAUUUUUAUUUAGUCAGUGUUUGUUUUAACCCCCCCCUCUCCAGAUCAUUAUUUUUUUGAAAAUAAACCCUUACUAAGUGGUGGUGAAAGCCCAAAAUCCAAUAAUAUUGAGGGACAGUAAUAUCUGUAAUGUAACGACUGUAACGUUCAUGCAAAACAUGUUUUUUUGUUGACAAAUUGUCAUCUUAUAGAGAAAUGAGGUAUCAGAACAAUUUCACAUUCAUCAAAUGUUUUAUCGUUUUCGGU
Non-coding RNA from Cinara cedri, 507 nucleotides. The record is from the annotation of a GenBank genome assembly. NCBI's taxonomy places the organism in Eukaryota, Metazoa, Arthropoda, Insecta, Hemiptera, Aphididae.